UUGGAGGGCAAGUCUGGUGCCAGCAGCCGCGGUAAUUCCAGCUCCAAUAGCGUAUAUUAAAGUUGUUGCAGUUAAAAAGCUCGUAGUUGAAUUUCGGGAUUGACGUGACGGUCGUGCCUUACGGGGUAUGAACUGUCGCCGUUGAUUUCUCACCUUCUGGAGAAGCUCGAUGUCCUUAAUUGGGUGUCUUGCGGAACCAGGACCUUUACCUUGAAAAAAUUAGAGUGUUUAAAGCAGGCAUUAUUGCUCGAAUACAUUAGCAUGGAAUAAUAG
This 273-nucleotide ribosomal RNA is filed under the name uncultured Glomus. RNAcentral describes it as "partial 18S ribosomal RNA". It matches the Rfam family "Eukaryotic small subunit ribosomal RNA", at positions 548 to 820 of the family's 1831-position model. Lineage: Eukaryota; Fungi; Glomeromycota; Glomeromycetes; Glomerales; Glomeraceae. The record is from RNAcentral.